CUAAUACCGCAUACGAUCUAUGGAUGAAAGCGGGGGAUCGCAAGACCUCGCGCGAUUGGAGCGGCCGAUAUCAGAUUAGGUAGUUGGUAGGGUAAAGGCCUACCAAGCCAACGAUCUGUAGCUGGUCUGAGAGGACGACCAGCCACACUGGAACUGAGACACGGUCCAGACUCCUACGGGAGGCAGCAGUGGGGAAUUUUGGACAAUGGGCGAAAGCCUGAUCCAGCCAUUCCGCGUGCAGGAUGAAGGCCCUCGGGUUGUAAACUGCUUUUGUACAGAACGAAAAGGUUUCUAUUAAUACUAGGAGCUCAUGACGGUACUGUAAGAAUAAGCACCGGCUAACUACGUGCCAGCAGCCGCGGUAAUACGUAGGGUGCAAGCGUUAAUCGGAAUUACUGGGCGUAAAGCGUGCGCAGGCGGUUAUAUAAGUCAGAUGUGAAAUCCCCGGGCUCAACCUGGGAACUGCAUUUGAGACUGUAUAGCUAGAGUACGGUAAAGGGGGAUGGAAUUCCGCGUGUAGCAGUGAAAUGCGUUA
RNAcentral lists this ribosomal RNA (535 nucleotides) under uncultured beta proteobacterium. RNAcentral's name for it is "bacterial SSU rRNA". It matches the Rfam family "Bacterial small subunit ribosomal RNA", at positions 163 to 693 of the family's 1533-position model. Lineage: Bacteria; Pseudomonadati; Pseudomonadota; Betaproteobacteria. The record is from RNAcentral.